UACGUAGGUGGCGAGCGUUGUCCGGAUUUACUGGGUGUAAAGGGCGCGUAGGCGGGGGAGCAAGACAGGUGUGAAAUCUAUGGGCUUAACCCAUAAACUGCAUUUGAAACUGUUCUUCUUGAGUGCCGGAGAGGUAGACGGAAUUCCUAGUGUAGCGGUGAAAUGCGUAGAUAUUAGGAGGAACACCAGUGGCGAAGGUGGUCUACUGGACGGUAACUGACGCUGAGGCGCGAAAGCGUGGGGAGCAAAC
Molecule: ribosomal RNA, 250 nt
Filed under: uncultured prokaryote
Description: partial 16S ribosomal RNA
Rfam family: Bacterial small subunit ribosomal RNA
Source: RNAcentral